Molecule: ribosomal RNA, 324 nt
Filed under: uncultured eukaryote
Lineage: Eukaryota
Description: partial 18S ribosomal RNA
Rfam family: Eukaryotic small subunit ribosomal RNA
Source: RNAcentral
CCCUUAGAUGUUCUGGGCCGCACGCGCGCUACACUGAUGCAUUCAACGAGUUUCUUCCUGGUCCGAAAGGAAUGGGUAACCUUUUGAAAGUGCAUCGUGAUAGGGAUAGACUAUUGCAAUUAUUGGUCUUCAACGAGGAAUUCCUAGUAGACGUAGUUCAUCAGACUGCAUCGAUUACGUCCCUGCCCUUUGUACACACCGCCCGUCGCUCCUACCGAUUGAAUGCUCAGGUGAGCCAUUCGGACUUUCAUCAUGCUGGUUUCCAGUUUUGAUGAAGGAAAGUCUUGCGAACCUUAUCAUUUAGAGGAAGGAGAAGUCGUAACA